This is a non-coding RNA of Microvirga aerilata, 59 nucleotides long. NCBI's taxonomy places the organism in Bacteria, Pseudomonadati, Pseudomonadota, Alphaproteobacteria, Hyphomicrobiales, Methylobacteriaceae. The record is from Rfam.
UAGCCAGGCCGGGCCCCUCUGGUCGCUCCUCACAGGAGCGGCGAUGUCGGACUGGAUGA